UACAGAGGUCUCAAGCGUUGUUCGGAUUUACUGGGCGUAAAGGGCGCGUAGGCGGUCAGCACAAGUCAGUUGUGAAAUCUCCGGGCUUAACUCGGAAAGGUCAACUGAUACUGUGCGACUAGAGUGCAGAAGGGGCAACUGGAAUUCUCGGUGUAGCGGUGAAAUGCGUAGAUAUCGUAAGGAAGACCAGUGGCGAAGGCGGGUCUCUGGACAGUUCCUGACGCUGAGGCACGAAGGCCAGGGGAGCAAACGGG
This 254-nucleotide ribosomal RNA is filed under the name uncultured bacterium. RNAcentral's name for it is "partial 16S ribosomal RNA". It matches the Rfam family "Bacterial small subunit ribosomal RNA", at positions 524 to 776 of the family's 1533-position model. The record is from RNAcentral.